UGGGGAAUCUUGCGCAAUGGACGAAAGUCUGACGCAGCCACGCCGCGUGAGUGAAGAAGGCCUUCGGGUUGUAAAGCUCUGUCGGGCGGGACGAAAAUUUUUACAGUGAAUAGCUGUAGAAACUGACGGUACCGCCAAAGGAAGCACCGGCUAACUUCGUGCCAGCAGCAGCGGUAAUACGAGGGGGGGCAAGCGUUGUUCGGAAUUACUGGGCGUAAAGGGCCAGUAGGCGGCCAACUAAGUCCGACGUGAAAUCCCCAAGCUUAACUUGGGAACUGCGUCGGAUACUGGAUGGCUUGAAUUCGGGAGAGGGAUGCAGAAUUCCAGGUGUAGCGGUGAAAUGCGUAGAUAUCUGGAGGAAUACCGGUGGCGAAGGCGGCAUCCUGGACCGACAUUGACGCUGAACGGCGAAAGCUAGGGGAGCAAAC
This 428-nucleotide ribosomal RNA is filed under the name uncultured bacterium. Its description in RNAcentral is "bacterial SSU rRNA". It matches the Rfam family "Bacterial small subunit ribosomal RNA", at positions 355 to 773 of the family's 1533-position model. The record is from RNAcentral.